RNAcentral lists this ribosomal RNA (775 nucleotides) under uncultured bacterium. RNAcentral's name for it is "bacterial SSU rRNA". It matches the Rfam family "Bacterial small subunit ribosomal RNA", at positions 28 to 776 of the family's 1533-position model. The record is from RNAcentral.
GACGAACGCUGGCGGCGUGCCUAAUACAUGCAAGUCGAACGCUUUGAUUUUCACCGGAGCUUGCUCCACCGAAAAUCAAAGAGUGGCGGACGGGUGAGUAACACGUGGGCAACCUGCCCAACAGAGGGGGAUAACACUUGGAAACAGGUGCUAAUACCGUAUAAUUUGUUUUUCCGCAUGGAAGAAUAAUAAAAGACGCUUCGGUGUCACUGUUGGAUGGGCCCGCGCUGCAUUAGUUAGUUGGUGGGGUAACGGCCUACCAAGACCAUGAUGCAUAGCCGACCUGAGAGGGUGAUCGGCCACACUGGGACUGAGACACGGCCCAGACUCCUACGGGAGGCAGCAGUAGGGAAUCUUCGGCAAUGGACGAAAGUCUGACCGAGCAACGCCGCGUGAGUGAAGAAGGUUUUCGGAUCGUAAAACUCUGUUGUUAGAGAAGAACAAGUGAGAGAGUUACUGUUCUCACCUUGACGGUAUCUAACCAGAAAGCCACGGCUAACUACGUGCCAGCAGCCGCGGUAAUACGUAGGUGGCAAGCGUUGUCCGGAUUUAUUGGGCGUAAAGCGAGCGCAGGCGGUUUCUUAAGUCUGAUGUGAAAGCCCUCGGCUCAACCGAGGAAGGUCAUUGGAAACUGGGGAACUUGAGUGCAGAAGAGGAGAGUGGAAUUCCAUGUGUAGCGGUGAAAUGCGUAGAUAUAUGGAGGAACACCAGUGGCGAAGGCGACUCUCUGGUCUGUAACUGACGCUGAGGCUCGAAAGCGUGGGGAGCAAACAGG